GAUGAACGCUGGCGGCGUGCCUAAUACAUGCAAGUCGAGCGAACAGAUGAGGAGCUUGCUCCUCUGACGUUAGCGGCGGACGGGUGAGUAACACGUGGAUAACCUACCUAUAAGACUGGGAUAACUUCGGGAAACCAGAGCUAAUACCGGAUAAUAUAUUGAACCGCAUGGUUCAAUAGUGAAAGACGGUGUUGCUGUCACUUAUAGAUGGAUCCGCGCCGCAUUAGCUAGUUGGUAAGGUAACGGCUUACCAAGGCAACGAUGCGUAGCCGACCUGAGAGGGUGAUCGGCCACACUGGAACUGAGACACGGUCCAGGCUCCUACGGGAGGCAGCAGUAGGGAAUCUUCCGCAACGGGCGAAAGCCUGACGGAGCAACGCCGCGUGAGUGAUGAAGGUCUUCGGAUCGUAAAACUCUGUUAUUAGGGAAGAACAAAUGUGUAAGUAACUAUGCACGUCUUGACGGUACCUAAUCAGAAAGCCGCGGCUAACUACGUG
Molecule: ribosomal RNA, 497 nt
Filed under: uncultured bacterium
Lineage: Bacteria
Description: partial 16S ribosomal RNA
Rfam family: Bacterial small subunit ribosomal RNA
Source: RNAcentral